This 499-nucleotide unclassified non-coding RNA is filed under the name Hevea brasiliensis (rubber tree). The record is from RNAcentral. Lineage: Eukaryota; Viridiplantae; Streptophyta; Magnoliopsida; Malpighiales; Euphorbiaceae.
AUUUUAUUAAGCCAACCAUAUGGUGUAUGUCGCCGCCUAAACUCUUGCUUCAUGCUUCCUGCAGGCACUGUAAGGAUAGAAUCUGUUAAAGGAGGUUUUUGAACUGCAGCAGUUUGGGCACGUGGACGGCUGCUUGCUAGAUCAUCUGAAUCCACAAAUUCAUCUUCACUUGAAGCAAACUUGGAAGACAAAGGCGUGAAUCCAGGAAGGGCCAAGCUGUACUCAAGGAGCUCAGUUUCAUGCUUGUACUUCAUUUGGAUUCUUUGGAGGCUCACUUCAGUCUCCGUCGCCUCUCUUUUUUUCUCCUCCCGCUUAAUCAGAGCCUCAAGUAUUGUCUUUAGCUUGGUUGAGGUUUCGCCUAACCUGGCGAAGCUUUUCAAAUGACUGCACAUUAUUUUCCCUCCUUUGCAUCCUUCUUGUGUGGAGUCUGUGAGCUUUUUCCCUUGGCCUGAAGACAUUGUACGGAUUGGUGUCAUUAACUGGUGGAGGAGGCUGCAAG